AAGGCAUCGAUUUACAAAGGCGUGUGCCCGGGAGCUCCGUCUUGGGGCUCCUAAAUUCUGCCUGGCAGCCCGGAGCGGGUGUGCUCUGGGGCAGAACCGGGGUGAAGCGGAAAGCCCCCAAGCACCUGUGCCCCCACGGGCCCCCUGCGCUAUCCUCAGGACGGACCCCACCCACGACCGGACUGGGCCAGAGCAGCCCGUGCUCUGUCGCCACCGUGCGGCCCGAACGGCACAUGACGCCUCAACGGCCGCGGGGACCGGCGUUGGGCUUGAAUUGAGAGAGGUUGAGAUUUGCCGGUGGAGAAAAUCUGACCUAUUUACAUGUAUCAAUUGGGAGCUGAAAACCAUUUUCAACCACUUCAGGCAGGAGAUGACGGCCGACGUCAAUCCUAAUCAAUCCUACGGACAGCAUGGAACCUCGAACACAGUUUUGGUUCCGAACGCGUGUUGGAAAUCGUCUUGGGGAUACACCCAGGGGUGGGCUUCCUGGGCCAUACGGGUAAUCCUGUGUUUAACUUACGGAGGAACCAGCAGCGGGGUUUUUGUGAUUGAAGCCUUUACUGAGGCCACUGCAGAGUCACCUGCGGUUGUGACAAAUGCCGCUGAGAAACUCCCUGGUGCACUUGGCCCGGUUCUCCCUGAUGGUCACAUUUUACAAAUCGAUAGUAUCUCCACCCGGGUAUUGUCGCUGAUACAAUCACCUCCCUUAUUUCAAUUCACUUG
Long non-coding RNA from Prionailurus viverrinus (fishing cat), 723 nucleotides. RefSeq lists it as uncharacterized. Lineage: Eukaryota; Metazoa; Chordata; Mammalia; Carnivora; Felidae. The record is from RefSeq and is a predicted model, not a curated record. The transcript is spliced from 3 exons.